Molecule: ribosomal RNA, 253 nt
Filed under: uncultured bacterium
Lineage: Bacteria
Description: partial 16S ribosomal RNA
Rfam family: Bacterial small subunit ribosomal RNA
Source: RNAcentral
UACGGAGGAUCCGAGCGUUAUCCGGAUUUAUUGGGUUUAAAGGGUGCGUAGGCGGCCUUUUAAGUCAGCGGUGAAAGUCUGUGGCUCAACCAUAGAAUUGCCGUUGAAACUGGGGGGCUGGAGUUGGAGAGAAGUACGCGGAAUGCGCGGUGUAGCGGUGAAAUGCGUAGAUAUAAGGAAGAACACCAGUGGCGAAGGCGGAUGACUGGACGGCAACUGACGGUGAGGCGCGAAAGCGUGGGGAGCAAACAGG